GUUAUUUUCUUUCUUUACUCCUUUUCUGCAUUGUGUUGGUUGCCAAGUAAAACUCUCCUUGGAAUUAUAAGUUCUUGGGUUUUGUUUAUUUUAGUUGAAUGAUCGUGGGAAAAGUGUAAGAUUAGCUACGAGUUGCUCUGCUUCAUGAGACUGAUAAUGAAUGGAGCCUAAUUUUGACUUUUAAAAACCCCAAAAAGAGUACUAAUUU
Molecule: unclassified non-coding RNA, 208 nt
Filed under: Hevea brasiliensis (rubber tree)
Lineage: Eukaryota; Viridiplantae; Streptophyta; Magnoliopsida; Malpighiales; Euphorbiaceae
Source: RNAcentral